UCCUUCCUACGGGGAAGCAGCAGUGGGGAAUAUUGCACAAUGGGCGAAAGCCUGAUCCAGCGACGCCGCGUGAGGGAUGACGGCCUUCGGGUUGUAAACCUCUUUCAGCACGGAAGAAGCGAAAGUGACGGUACCUGCAGAAGAAGCACCGGCUAACUACGUGCCAGCAGCCGCGGUAAUACGUAGGGUGCAAGCGUUGUCCCGGAAUUAUUUGGGCGUAAAGAGCUUCGUAGGCGGGUUUGUCGCUUCGGUUGUGAAAACCCCGGGGCUUAACCCGGGGUUUGCGUUCGAUACGGGCAGGCUAGAGUUCGGUAGGGGAGAUCGGAAUUCCUGGUGUAGCGGUGAAAUGCGCAGAUAUCAGGAGGAACACCGGUGGCGAAGGCGGUUCUCUGGGCCGAUACUGACGCUGAGGAGCGAAAGCGUGGGGAGCGAACAGGAUUAGAUACCCUGGUAGUCCACGCCGUAAACGUUGGGCGCUAGGUGUGGGGUGCAUUCCACGUUUGCCGUGCGCGCAGCUAACGCAUUAAGUGCGACACUCUGCACGAGCUAUAAAGGGU
RNAcentral lists this ribosomal RNA (557 nucleotides) under uncultured Streptomyces sp. RNAcentral describes it as "bacterial SSU rRNA". It matches the Rfam family "Bacterial small subunit ribosomal RNA", at positions 333 to 873 of the family's 1533-position model. The record is from RNAcentral. Lineage: Bacteria; Bacillati; Actinomycetota; Actinomycetes; Kitasatosporales; Streptomycetaceae.